RNAcentral lists this ribosomal RNA (453 nucleotides) under uncultured bacterium. RNAcentral describes it as "bacterial SSU rRNA". It matches the Rfam family "Bacterial small subunit ribosomal RNA", at positions 29 to 471 of the family's 1533-position model. The record is from RNAcentral.
AAUCAACGCUGGCGGCGUGCCUAACACAUGCAAGUCGAACGCGAAAGCCCCGCAAGGGGUGAGUAGAGUGGCAAACGGGUGAGUAACACGUGGGUGACCUGCCUUCGAGUGGGGGAUAACGUCCCGAAAGGGACGCUAAUACCGCAUGACAUCCUGCCUUUGGACAGGCGGAGAUCAAAGCUGGGGAUCGCAAGACCUGGCGCUUGAAGAGGGGCCCGCGUCUGAUUAGCUAGUUGGUGAGGUAACGGCUCACCAAGGCAACGAUCAGUAUCCGGCCUGAGAGGGCGGACGGACACACUGGGACUGAGACACGGCCCAGACUCCUACGGGAGGCAGCAGUGGGGAAUUGUUCGCAAUGGGCGCAGGCCUGACGACGCAACGCCGCGUGGAGGACGAAGAUCUUCGGGUCGUAAACUCCUGUCGAGUGGAAAGAAUAAUUCGGGGACGAAUACU